GGAGGAAAGUAGGGGAUCGAAAGACCUUGCGCUUAAGGAGCGGCCGAUGUCUGAUUAGCUAGUUGGUGGGGUAAAGGCCUACCAAGGCGACGAUCAGUAGUUGGUCUGAGAGGACGACCAACCACACUGGGACUGAGACACGGCCCAGACUCUACGGGAGGCAGCAGUGGGGAAUUUUGGACAAUGGGCGCAAGCCUGAUCCAGCCAUGCCGCGUGGGUGAAGAAGGCUUCGGGUUGUAAAGCUCUUUCAGUUGGGAAGAAACGAUUACAACUAAUAAUUGUAAUUAAUGACGGUACCGACAGAAGAAGCACCGGCUAACUACGUGCCAGCAGCCGCGGUAAUACGUAGGGUGCGAGCGUUAAUCGGAAUUACUGGGCGUAAAGGGUGCGCAGGCGGUUUUGUAAGUCAGAUGUGAAAUCCCCGGGCUUAACCUGGGAAUGGCGUUUGAAACUGCAAGGCUAGAGUGUAGCAGAGGGGAGUGGAAUUCCGCGUGUAGCAGUGAAAUGCGUAGAUAUGCGGAGGAACACCGAUGGCGAAGGCAGCUCCCUGGGCUAACACUGACGCUCAUGCACG
RNAcentral lists this ribosomal RNA (574 nucleotides) under uncultured ammonia-oxidizing bacterium. Its description in RNAcentral is "bacterial SSU rRNA". It matches the Rfam family "Bacterial small subunit ribosomal RNA", at positions 198 to 755 of the family's 1533-position model. The record is from RNAcentral.